ACGCUUACAACGCUCUUUCGUUAGAGUCAAACAGAUAAGACCGCGUCCAUAAGUCGCCAUGAAGUUUAUGGCUUCAGGAGUCACAUCCUGAGCAGCCAUAAUAA
This 104-nucleotide antisense RNA is filed under the name Vibrio palustris. RNAcentral's name for it is "Vibrio RNA AS9". It matches the Rfam family "Vibrio RNA AS9". From Rfam's summary of the family: Identified by direct cloning an parallel sequencing experiments with 5S/tRNA depletion. Confirmed by Northern blot. The record is from Rfam by way of RNAcentral. Lineage: Bacteria; Pseudomonadati; Pseudomonadota; Gammaproteobacteria; Vibrionales; Vibrionaceae.